GACGAACGCUGGCGGCGUGCUUAACACAUGCAAGUCGAACGGGAAGGCCCCUUUGGGGGUCCUCGAGUGGCGAACGGGUGAGUAACACGUGAGUAACCUGCCCUUGACUUCGGUAUAACUUCAGGAAACUGGGGCUAAUACCGGAUAGGAAUCCUUGCUGCAUGGGGGGGGUUGGAAAGCUUCGGCGGUUUUGGAUGGACUCGCGGCUUAUCAGCUUGUUGGUGGGGUAGUGGCUUACCAAGGCUUUGACGGGGAGCCGGCCUGAGAGGGCGACCGGCCACAUUGGGACUGAGAUACGGCCCAGACUCCUACGGGAGGCAGCAGUGGGGAAUAUUGCACAAGGGGCGGAAGCCUGAUGCAGCAACGCCGCGGGCGGGAUGACGGCCUUCGGGUUGGAAACCGCUUUCAGCAGGGGCGAAGCUUGUGGUGACGGUACCUGCAGAAGAAGCACCGGCUAACUACGUG
RNAcentral lists this ribosomal RNA (465 nucleotides) under uncultured bacterium. Its description in RNAcentral is "partial 16S ribosomal RNA". It matches the Rfam family "Bacterial small subunit ribosomal RNA", at positions 28 to 507 of the family's 1533-position model. The record is from RNAcentral.